GCUGCCCCUAGAGGCAUUGCAGGUGUAACUGCUGUGUCACCCGUACGUUAGUAGAUGACCAAGAAGAGUGAGUCUAUGUCUGUGAUCAGUAUUCUGACCUGUGCACAUCUGAAUGAUAGUAGCCUAACAUU
This is a small nucleolar RNA of Grammomys surdaster, 131 nucleotides long. RefSeq annotates it as small nucleolar RNA SNORA17. The transcript has a single exon. NCBI's taxonomy places the organism in Eukaryota, Metazoa, Chordata, Mammalia, Rodentia, Muridae. The record is from RefSeq and is a predicted model, not a curated record.